CCCAGGGCUAUACAUAUGGCAACUGCACACACAGUCCUACUUGCAGAUGGGGCUUAGGCUAAAUGCUAGGCUUUGUGGCAUUUCUGUGCUAAUCUCUGAAGGCUUUUGGAUACACCCCUGAGGCAGUGCACUUCUAGAACCCCUGCUUGGCCAGACAGAAGUUUGGCUUCCCUGGGGUUAAAUCCCAAGAAGAUUUCAGUGGUAGUUAAGUUGGAUGUAGGCAGGUGGAAGUGUACAGCACUGCAAAAUGUAACUCCAUUGCCUCUUGGUUUUACUAAUGCCUCAAAGGAGGGCUGGCUCAUUCUAAGUGCAGUGCAAUAUCUAAGUAGAAAAAGAGAUGUUUGGAAAAAUCAUUCAUUAUAUUUUUCAGAAUAAAGCAAUCACAUCUUCCUUAGCAGAGAAUGCAAAGAAAGCUGUAAAUAUCACAGCUGCUCACUGGCAACUAGGAAAAAAAAAGAGUCAAAUUCAAAGCUUGCCACUUCUAUUCACAGUGAAUGACUUAGGAGUCAAAAGAAGAACAGGGUGUGUACAGUCUGAAGAGAAUAUUGCUGGUAAAAUUCUAAGGAUGCCUCCUAAAACUGGCAAUUGCUCACCAUGUCAGCUGGAAUAAAGUUUGUCACAUUGUAUGUCCAGAUGCAAUAUGGUGAUAUAUGCAAUUUCAGUCACUCUUUCCAAAUUGUGGGCUUUAUCUGAAAUGCUCUCAUACCCCAAACCGUCUGCAUUUUCAUUAAAAGAAUGAAUGUUCCUGUCAUCAUCUUGGUAGGAACGCCAACAGGAAAUAAGCUACCUCUAAAUGAAAAGAUGCAUUUUAUUGUUUGCAAAGCUGGGGAAAUAUGAAUCAAACUUACAACUUGGCUGGCAGGUGGUUUGUUUGGAGUAUGGAAUUAGUGCCUUUGUAGGGGUCUGACAAAUAGCCUGGGGUCUCAGACAAUGCACUGGCAUCCUGGUGGCUGCAUGAUCUUACAGAGAGCAUUAACUUCUCUGUGCCUCAGUUUCUUCAUCAGUAAAACUGUGAUAAUCAUUUUCUGCUGGAGUUUCCAGCUAAUAGGCUUGUUAUGCCCUGCAAAGCACUCAGAGAUCUCCAUCUGGAACAAACUACAGAAGUGCAAGUAUUAUUGCUAUUAGAAGUCCAUUACAGCUCUGUUUUGCUUUGUUCGUACUGGCCCUUUGGUACGUGCAGCUAGACAGCUCCUAAUGUUAUCUUGAUGCACAAAGCACUUUUUGUGUGAGGUUUGACUCACACUAAAAUGCCAGUUAGAAUUUUGUCCUCGGGAACUCACUGGAGCUUGGCUUACAGAAUCUGAAAAUUAAAUCAACCAAAAUAGGUCAAACACAAAACUAUAUGUCCUUAUGUGUCCUCUUGUCCUCUUUAGCAGUAUAGCGCAUAGUUGUUGUUUUCUUAUCUGUAAAGUUUGGGCCUGUUUUGUUCCUCAGCCAGCUUUGCUACUGAUAUCUUGGUUACAUUUUGAAUACCUGCUCUUGAGAAUUUUCUGUUCCCAUUAAAUAUAGUUUAGAAGGACACGCUCAUCUGUUAGUGGUCCAGAAAUAACGUGCUGAAUGCACCAGCAGCUGAUGCGACUGAACGCGAUACAAAAGUGUAUCAUUCUGUUAGAGUUUGUUGGUAGGCAUCAUUAUGGAAAUGUUUUUGAGCCUUAAAAAAGGGAAUAGUGUAUCGGAAAUUGAAUCAAACGUUAACAGAAGCUGCAGUUUGUGGUUUACUUUUCCCUCGUAGCUAGUUCUUUAGGAAUUAUUCCUGUUCACAUAAUCCUUUAAGUUAAUGUAUUUAUUCCGUGCGUGCUUUAUAAUUUCUAUUCAUUCAUAUGUCAAGUAGCUGAAGGUGCUGCUUCAAUUAGUAUUUACUUCAGUGUUAUACUGUUUUGAAUUGGUUGUUUGUUACAGUCACAAUGCAGUGAAUAAACGUGUUAAUAUUUGAAGUGGGAAGGGAGGUAAAAUGGGAAACCGUCUGCUCCAGUCGCGGCCCAGCUUUCUGGUUACAACAUAUUAUAAUUUAUUUAAACCCAAUCAAUACUUAAUCUGGAGUUUAAAUUCCGCUAAAGAUCUGUGGCAUAGCUAAAAGCAGCUGAUGCCAAAGAAAAAAAAUUUCUUCAGGCUGUGAUUCUGAUGAAUUUAUAAUGCGCUCUAAGGGUGAUGCAUUGACCUAAAUUCACAGAAGCGCUGCAAUUCGUAUUUAUUAUUGUGAAAGGUGUCCUACCAACACUUUUCUUCUUCUGAAUGUUGAGAGCCUGUGUGAGAAAGAUGGGCGGCUGCAGAGGAAGGAGCUGCACGCACAGCCCGGGAGGGUGGGAUGGGACUGAGCGCGGCCCUGUGCCGCACACCGGGCGGUGAGUCACUGUGACCCCGAGAUUCAAGGCAGGAAUUAAUUCAGCACUGCAAAAAUCUGGCAAAUGUUUGAAGCCAGCAGUGAAAGCAGACUUCCUGAGAGGUGUGUGUUUGUGGUGACAAUUUGGAUUUAUUUUGCUGGCAAUGCAAAAGACAUUGUUACGGCAGGAAGAAGACAGUUGUGUUAAAAACUGCUUCUCUUUUUUAGUUCUCCCCCCCCCCCAGCCUUUCUGGGGAAAUAGAUUGUGAUCUCUGCGGGGUUUGGUUUUCUCUGUACAGCUCUUUAAACUCCCCCAGGCACAGCCAUCUCAGGGCAGGGCCCACGGGCAGCUCCUACCAGCACUGCAGGGAUGUGCACACACCAUUCUCUUGUAAGGUCUGGGCAACCUCAUAUUUCCCAGCACAUUUUGGCAAGCUUUUACUCAGAGUGGUCCAACAGCUUUUCAUAGUAAGUGAAUGACUUCCCAGUGACCUGAGCCCUCUUCCAAGCCUCCUUUGUCACCCUGACAGCUUGCAGUCAUGCUUUUCUGAUCUUGUGCAAAGCUAUAUGUUUUACCAGAUCUGUAACUGCAGGAGACUUGGUUGUUCUGAAAAUUAACUGGAUGAAUAAGGGAAAUGUAUAGUGGAUAAAGGCUGACAAUCAUCCCCACUUCUUUUAUGAUACAAUGCCCUGCCCUCAUGAGAAGGGAGAAGAGCUCAAUUCUCCCUCCUAAUUGAUAGGUGCAUACUUGUCAGAUGUGGUUUCCCCAGGCAGUCUGUAAGGCAGGACUCACCCCCACACACCGUUCAUCCCCAGUCCCUCACCUGUGUGCUUCUGGGGCAUCACAUCAGACACUCUCCCAGCAUGUGUCUUCUUGCUCUAUUUUGUGCCCGCCUCUGCCCAUAUUGCUGCUGUAGUGGUUUAUGCCAGAAUAAAUAUGGGCUAGCAUAAAUCCUCAGGCUUGGAAGGCAUUAGCCUGCCUUUACUGUAGCACAAUCGACAGCUGUACCUGGCACCACGACCUCAUUGCACCCCAGCGUGGCAGCAUCCAGAGCCUUGAUGCAUUGGAGGAGCAGAGCCACAUGCUUGCUGAGGUUUGUUCCUCUGGGCUGGCCCUGAGGAUGAGAACAGCAUGCAAACACAGCUUCUCAGCAGGAGCAACUAUUAGUUUCAGCUUUAACCUUUACUUAAAAAUAUGAAGCUGCUGAGCAAAAAUGCAAAGGCUUAGUGUUCAAACUCACGCCUAACUCAGAGAGCUGGGUUCCUAGAACCAACUGUGAAUUUCAGUUUAGCAGCAAGGAAGUUUAUGUUCAACUUCAGUUUUUCUUCCAGCUAUAAUGCUCAAAGGGAGUACUUCAGUAUCUGUCUUGCUUUUUGUUAGGGAGAUGAAACAAAACAAAACACCAUUUGUCAUAAUUCUUUGGGAUUGCUAUUAUGGCCAGGAGAAAAGCGGGCUUCUGCUAGUUCAUGUACGAGUCAAAAGAAAGGCAUAUUCCUUUCCCCACAGGAUCCCAAGUGGAAGAGUUGGUGGAUAGGUAAGAUAAAAAUGGGUAUAGAUUGUGAGAGACAGGCUGACAAAAAAAAGUGCGUGCAGUUUUUUCACUAUUCUAGAGCAGUAAUUGUACUUUGCUUACAUACCUAAGCAUGUUUAGGUGGCAAUUUUCUUUCCUUGUAACAGAAGAGGUGACUUUCAAGAGAAUAAUCUGAAGGAGGUUGUGGUGGAUGACUGUUUUCCUUGUUGUUGGUUUUUUUUGUUUGUUUGUUUUAUUUUGUUUCUUUAAAUUCAGAAUGUUUUUUACCAGGUCAACAGGCCAAUUUCUCUCCAUUGUUCACAAAGCUAUUGGGUAUUUUUUUUUCCUUCCCACUGUGCCUUGAAAAAACAACUUCACUUAAGUUCAUGUGUGAAACCUUUUGCACAACAGAAGUGGUUUCUUGUGGCCAGUAAGACUAAAUGUUCUGAGCAUUCCAGGAAGCAUAUAAAUAGACUGAUACUCUUCCUAAGGUUAUAGAGCAUUAUUUCUCCCUUUUUUUCUUUAUUUCUCCUCCUGUCCUACUCCCCUACCUUCAGUUACGCUCUCUCCAUCUAGGCAAAGACCAAACAAAGUGCAGUGUUUGAAAAUCCUGACCAUCAUUUUCCAUUUUACUUGGGUUUUCCUCAGUUACAUGUUCUGAAUAGAAAUUGUUCGAGUAAAUGCAGCACAGUAAAUUAUCUUAAAUUACUUCUUAUAGUCCAGACUAGUAUUAUAACAUGAAAAUUGUUACUUGGAGUCUCCCACGCCCCUGGCUGCUGCAGACCUGUGUCUCCAGGCUGGGGAGAAAUGGAUCACAGUACUUAUCCAGCAGAGCCUGCAGGCCAAUCCACAAUGUGGAAAGUGGAGUUCACAUAAAGGAGGUCUCUUAUCCUUUCCUCUCAAUCCUGCUAGAUACAGCAAAGCUGUCACAAUGGUCAAAUAUAAUUAAAAUGGUGAUCUGCCACUGAAGGGUAGGCCAAUGUCUAUGCAGAAACCAGAUGAGGAAUUAUUCAAGCCAAAAACAUUAAAUCUCAGCUCAUCCGUGGUUACCAUAAAACAGCCAUCCUGUUCCUUUGAUCUAUGAUGAAUUUGAAUGUGUGUUAAUAAGACAUAUAUGCUGGGCAUCAACAUCAUCUUCUGUUGAACGAAGGUAAACACUGCAUUCGUCUCUGUAAAAUAUACUUCAGUAGUUGGGAAGAAAGUGGAGAUUCAUUAUUUUUGCAGUUGUAGAAGACAUUUAGCAGCUGUGUUUAUACUGGCAGACAAUUUGGAUAUUAGGUGGCAGGACAGAGAACUGCAGAUGCACGAUAUCGUGCAGACAUUGUGCACUUACAGCACAUUUCCAGGGAAACAUGUUAUUUUAUAUUUCCCUUGGUGUCAUUAAUCACAUUUCAUGAUGUAUCUCACUAUUUCAACUCAUUCCCCUAGAUUCAUUCAUUUUUUUGGCCUGUUUAUUUAAUAGUUAUUGAGCUCCAUUUCAACAAAUUCCAUCUUAACCACAGAUAAUAAAGUUCCUUUUGCUUCAGGGGAGAAAAUUAAGAUGGCCCUGUACUGAUUUCAGGGACUACCUGUAAUAGUCAGCAUGUCUGCUGCAUCAGAAAGAUACUUUGUUUGCCUUUGGUCAGAAAAAUGUUCAUGCUGUUCUUUGCAACUUAAAAAUUAAACUCAUUUCCUGAAAGUAAAAAUAUGAUUCUUAUCUUGAACUAUAAAGGAAAACAGCUGCACUUUAUUCUGUUCUCGAAGUUCUCUAAUCUCUCUGGAGGCUUUGUUUUGGUUUCACAGGUGAAUCCCUUAAACUGCAGCAGCAAUGAUGGCUCCUCCUUGGCAGAAACAUGCUGAGAGGCAGUUGGGAAUCCCCUGCUCUGGAGCUGCAGCCUGAGGAACCUCAGCGUGUAAGAAGCGUCUCUGAGGCACUCACAUGGUGAUGGUUAUACAUCUCCUGCUUACCCCAACUUAGUGAAAGCUGUCUUCAAGCAAAUAAGACUGGCAGCAAGGCUGGGAGUGCAAUCACCUGCUGGCAUAAUCCCUGGACUCUUCUUAAAGGAAUUCUAAAAAGGGAAACUCAGGAAUGCCUACCUGACUGUCCAGAGAACUGCCAUCCAGAGGAGCAUCCUACAGCAGCACAAGCAUUUCAUCUUCUGGAUUUGUGGAGACAUGUGGGAUUUGUUGAUGCUGAAGGCAGGAGGAAGUCAAGGGAGAAAAAAAGAAUUCUGGGAGGAAACUUGGUAAAACCGAAGAUCCAAAGUGAAACAUCAGGAAACAUCACCAAAAUGAAGCCCGUUGGAUGUUUGCAGCUGUUUCUUUAGUCCUGAUUAACAGGGAUUUUCUGAGAAGAGCUGCACAAGUGCAGUCCCCAUUCAGCGUACAGAUUUUCCAGAGUGAUCUCCAAGUUGUAAUGGACAACCUCUUUCCUGCCAGCAGAGCCCAGAGAGGAAUAAACCAAGACCACCAGCUAAGUCAUUGUGUAAUGUGCUGUGGAUAUGAGCAUCGAAUGCCCUCAGUGGCAAUGACUCAGGACCAAAUCAUCCUUUUGCGGGAAUUACCUACGAAGGAAACUGGACGCUCCAUGGCAUCUGUGUCAUCCUUCCCUCCAGAUGGUGCCUCCAAAUCUGUUCUGAAAUGGCAUGUGCAAAGCAAAUCCAGAGUGCCUAUCAUUCAGCCCUCUGAUGGCAACUCUCAGACAACUCGGGGACAGACAGAACACAAAACCAGAAAUAAGGACUUGCAACCGUGGCUGAAGAUGCCCAGAGAGUCGUGUAUGUAACAGCCAGCGAGAGGCAGAUGACAGCAACAAGAAAUUUCACAGCUCCAAAGAGUGAACGUACCACGGAUUAGUACCGGAGACAGAAAUACUUCUAUGAAAACCAUGAAGGAAGUUCCGGAAUCUAGAGUAACUCUCGGAUGCACAGAACUGGAGACUUAAAAGAUCCUCAGUUCCCCCAGGACCUGAGCAUGUAGAAACGUGGGGGCCUGGCUGUCCUUCUGGUCUGCACGCGUGGCCUCAAGCCCGAAUCCCUACAACAGCAUCUCCACUGGCAGCAAAGCGCUUCUUUGCCCUUUACCACUGAACUGCUGUGGCUUGAUUGUGUGAAACUGAGUUUCAGGAUGCAAGAUACUGUUCAGAUAGUUCUGCAAUACAUUCUUCAGACCCAGCAGCUUUGGCAGGCCCGUGGAUGAUGGAAUAACCAGAUCUCUGCGGCCACCCCUGAAAAACAGAUUCUUUCUUCUGGAUUCCCUGGGAUUCUCUCAGCAGCCAGCCUUGUUUACAGAAGUCAGCGCGGACAGUAACAGCCCUUCACCAAUGAGCCACAGUGGACCCUUUGGGGAAGGCUCCUCACGGUGCUCUGUCAUCUGCUGACAAAGUGGUGCCAGGACCAGAACUUCACAAUGAACUCUGCGGAGAAAAAUCCACAGCAGAUGAAGGAAUCUCGAAGUCAGUGACAGGUAGACUCAGGCUUAAAGUGAGAGGAUCCCCCACGUCACUGGUUUCAACUAGAGGAUACGUCUGUGCUAUGAGAAUACUCAGUAUGAGAAACGUGCUGCGAAACAGAGGCAGCCAGUUGGAGCAGUGCUUCAGACUAAGCUGAGGUCAGUUUUAGAAUCACAGAACACUUCAGGCUGGACAGGAACUCUUGAUGUCACCUCAAUCCACGCCCUGCUCAAAGAAGGUCUCACUACGUCAGAUCGCUCAAGGCUGCAGCCAGUCAAGUUGAACCCUCAAAUGGGGAGCCUCUGCUGAAUGCUGGUUACUGCAAGGAAAGCAAUUGUGAGGACUUUUGUGGCAAAGAGGUGCUUUAAAGAAGUAAACUUUGGAAACACAGCUGAUUUUUAAUACUUCAGCCCCAGUCACUGGCAAUAGAAGGGAUUUGAUUGGGAUGAGUGCUAAGAGUCCUUCUGCUGUGCUCGGUCAGCUACCCCACCAGAAAUGAACGUGUGACAUGUUAUUUAAACUGAGAAGUUGAUAGCAUUGAAUACAUCUGUUUGUAUAAACUAGCUGGCUAUCCCCUUGCCAUCUCUAACGUAAAUCUACUAAGGUAUUGUGAAACUUCAUUUAUUUUAAGCUUGCAGUAUUUACCUGUGCAAAUCAUACAAGAAGCGUCCUUUCUAACUUCCAUGCCAUUUUUCUACUGAGUUAUUUGUUGGAAAGAUAUGUUCCUGUAUAAUUAAAUGUGGUUUUCUGAAACCUUUGCAGUUGGUAGCUUAAUAUAUAUUUUGUUGUACUUUGAGUACAAAGGAUGUAUUAUGCUUUUGUUGGCAUCCUUACUAGUCAGUGUGCCAACUGCAUAAUUUGGUUCUCUGCUAUAUGUCAGGAUUUGAGCGCCGAGGGCUCAACAGGUGGUGCUGGGAUAAAGUUCUGGCAAAUCAAAUAGGUAGCGCAGUUAUUUCUUUUGUCAAAUUAUAAUUGAAAACAGAGACAAGUAAAAUGAAGCUCAUGUUUUCCUGGUGCAAAACAGGGUUUAGAAUUCAAUUCAAAUCAGUUCACAUGACGAAUACACAUUACUACUGGAGCUUGGUCUGUAAAUAAACAUGCAGCACCUUAGUUUUGAUGUAGAAUGAUUCGUUCUUUGCAAAUUUAAACCAUAAGUGUCAGCAUUUAAACAAUAACAGAGGGCGUGAGUCCUCCAUGACUCUUCUGUCUUUGUCAUGCAUAUCUUGCAGAAAAUGUGCCAAAAUCUUCAGGAAAACUUUGAGAAGAUUUAAAUCUAAAAAGUCAGAGAAUUUGAGGCUGUCUGUGAUACGUAACUCAAAUGCUUAGCAUCAGGAGUUUCCUGCCAUAUUGUUUUCUAACCAUCGCUCUACCUGUGACCCCAGCAGAAAAUGGCAAAAAUACACUGGAAAUUCCAGUGAAUGUGCUGCAUGAGGUGCUGCUUGUUUUAUACUUGUCUUGGAUAAUGUUUAUUGAUCCUAAAACCAUACAAAUGGGUUAAAACCCAUUCUGCAACAAAAAUACAACAGAUGAUGGAGGCACAGUUUGGUUUUCCAAAAUUGUAUAUAAAAAGAUCUAUGCACUUGCAAGCCUUUUCCCUUUGUUAUUGUAGCUGAUGUUUUUACAGUGAGAUCUUGUUAUUUUCCUCUGAGGACCUCUCUCAAUAUGAUAUAUAUAAUCUUAUCUACAGCUCCUACAGACACUGUGGUUUUAGUUAGUUUUCUGUUUCUACUCACUCAAAUGGAUUUGUUCUGAGCUGUAGUUUUCAGACUUCGAGUUCUGAACCCAUCACGUACCAAAGCAGCUUCCAGCAGUGGCCUCCAGUUCCUCACACUGGUCGCAUACAUCUUUAUGACACUAUUAAGCUCUCAUUUUAGUGAAGGUUUUGCCUUUAUACGUGACCAGGUGAUGCUUCCUCUUCUGCCACUUAAUAAGUAAGUCAUUCCGUAAGUGAUUGUUAACUAAUUAGUGUGAGAAAAGGUUAUCACAUUCAACUUCUAUUGAAUUCCUAACAGGCAACCAUUUCAGGUUACCACAGGUAUCUGCACGAGGUUGAGAUCCAAUUGCAAUCGGAGGGAUGGUUGUAGGGGAGAAAGUAAUUCCGGUGCUCUGGUCAUUUUGUUAUUUAUAUAUAUAUAUUUAAAAUAAACAUGUGGAAUAUUUAUCUUAAACCUCAGGUAACUGUUUAGAAAAGAAACAGCUGAGAAGCUGAUAAUGUACCCCUUUCACUGACAAAAGAUUUAUGUCUUGCCUGGCCGGACUUCCCAAUGGUCAAACAGAAGCAGCACGUAGCCCAGUGUUUAUCCAGGGGAACUGAGACCGCUGCUUCCACGCUUUUUCAUGUGAAAUUAAUUCAGCCACGUUGAAACUGGCCAAGAAUCAAAAACGUGAUAAAAUUCCUAUUAAAAGAGUGGGAGAGCGGCUCGGAAGCAGUUUGUGCAAAAAUAUGUAGGCACGAACAUUUCUGGUGACCUUCCUCAGGAGCCAUCUGGCUGCUUGCAGGGCACCCCCUCUCCCUUUGGGGAGCAGGUGAAGAGUUCAGCUCAUCUUAGUUGUGAAAUGAGAAUCUGCAAUAAGAAACAAGCUCUUGGAAUUCAAAGAUGUAUUAUUUCGUGCCAUUCUAUUGCAGGAAAAAUGGCAGAAUCUUCUGUGGCACUCACAAAUGGGGUAACAACAAUUUUUUUUCAGAUUCUUAGUAGUGCUAAAAUCUGAACGGAAUCUGGCCUUUGCUCUUUCAUGUACAGCAUUUGAUUAACUGUGAUUCCAAAAGGUUCAGGCACCCAAGUAUGUGCUUAUGUGAGUGGGAGUACAACGUACCUACGCCUACCUACGUGUGCUUACCUACAGACAUUUUUAUUUUCAAUGUUCUGAUUCCAGCGGCCUUUUCAAGAGACAAAAGAAAGUUAAAAAUAAAAUUAGAGCCUAAAAACAAUGGAUUUGCAGUAGCCAGCACAAUGCCAGUCUGCACUGUUGCGAAAGACCUGUGCAUAAACAUUCAUAGGGAUGAAUUCAGAGGUGAUGGGCGACACAGACUGAGGAAAAGGAGCCCAGAGAGUAGGUAAUAAUAAAGAAAAUCAUGAAAAGAGGAAACAGAGAAGGAAAAGCAGCUAAGUGAAAGGUAUGUAACACCUAAUCUAAAGCACAUUUCUCUCUCCUUCAGCGCACACAAAACUUUUACCGGUUCCUUUUUAUGGUUAUUGAAUGCCUACAUUACCUGAAAGUGGAAUUUAUUGAGCUGAGUGUUAAACUCUAAGUUUUACAAAUAAGCUUCCGUACAAAAAUAUUUAUUAUCUGUAACGUACAUCAUCAGCUCUUACACUCCCACUGCGUUCAUCCAUUGUCUCCCAAUACAGUUACCGUGAACGUAUGUCAGAAUAUACGUCAGCCUCAGAAAUACACACUUGUACUGCAGUGACUAUUUUCUAUUCCUUAUUUCUUUGCCUCUAUUUUAAACAACGGAUGUGUACGUUUGCUUAGAACCUAGCUUCUGAAACAGAAGGACAAAAUUACUGGUUCUGACAGCUGUGAAAACAUUUCCAUAAUACAGAAAAUCUAAAUGCCUCUUCAUUCAAUCACUUUCUCAAUGAAAACAUCCCAGGAUUAAAGAAAUCCAGGGAAAGAGAAAAGAUUAACCUAGAAAAGGCAAAUAAGCAAGUGAAUAAAGCUGGGUUUAUUGCUUCCUGCUUCAACAAUGUCCAACAAGAUCUGGGCCAUGGUGCCACAGCUUUCACACGCGUGUGCAGUGGACACAGCUCCCCUGCAUGCAAACAAUGCACCAGCUUGCGUGAAGUGAAUUGGGGCCAGCACAAUUGUUUGAAGGAGGAGGGAUGCACAGUCACUGGAAGCACAGAAGCGCCUUUUCUCUCUGGUUUCAUGCAGCUGACAUACCGAGCAGAGGAGCCAGAGAGAACAUGUAAUGGAAAUAAAUGACUUUGCAGACCCAACGGAAGGAGGUGGGAGCGAAAAAGCAUCCUCACCCCCUGCCCGGCGGCUGCGUAAAUCUGUCCCUGCCAGGAGAGCUCCGGGAGGUGCUCAGCGGCCGCCUCCCCAGGAGUCAGUGAGAGUUCAGGUGCUUACUGUGUCAUCAGGCUUGACCUUCACAUGCGACACUGCCAGGACGUUUGUUUUCCCACAGCAGUGAUUGCUUCAGUCAAUUAUUAUUGCCCAUCGUAGAGUGCAAACACAUAAGGGCUUGAUUUACAGUGCAAAAAUAUACAUCCUGAAUUUACUUCCUCUUUUGUUUUUGGACUGUCAUAGCAUCUCCACCUUAAAGAGAUGACAGCAAAUUACUUCAUAGGUAAAUAUAUGUAUGUAUAGGGAAGGAUAAAUAGCAGUCAUUCGGGUCAUUGUGAGAUGAACGUUCAGUAUAGCUUCAGAUCGGCUGUGUCAGACGUGACAAUAUAUUUUAAGCUUUUUGUUUUAAAAUUUUCAUUUUUUCUGCUUUUCUUUGAAGAAAUCAUCAUUCGCAAAUUUUGCAAGUUGGCAAUCUAACCUCUAAAUCCAUUCUAACGCAGAUUUAAGAUUGUGCAUUCAGUUCCUUAAGCAAUGUUUAGGUAUUACCAAUAUACUGAAAGAUAGAUGAGACAGCCUCAUGGUAAUACAGCUUUUAACCUUUCCUCUCCUCUACCAUGACGGGGGAGAAUUACAGUAAAUGAUGGUUACCUUGUCUGCAGUAUGGACAAUUGAUUUGACCUCACUGCAUCUGAUGCUCUAAUGGACUUUGUGGCUGAAUCCCUGGAGAUAUAAAAUAUGUCCAAGUGAAUUGGGGCAGGUUAAAGAACGGACCUGCUUUUCAUGGCUGGCUCAAGCUAUAAUAGAUCUCCCGGUUGUUCUGAGAAGAAGAUUAAAAAUGAUCAAUAUCCAAAUCAUUAAAAAAAAAAAGCGGUGGCUUCUGUAAAUCUACCAUAGGUGGGUUUUUUUUCCUGCUAAACGCCGGAGGAGGGUGUCUGGGUUGAUAACGUGAGUUUCCAUAACAAAUGUUUACUUCUGUUUACUCUCUAGUAACAUGUUCCUUUUUAUAUUAAGACUCAGACACACAGAUGGCGUGAUUCAGCACUGCUUUCCUGAAGUCAUGCUUGUUUACACCAUGAAGAGUCAGGCCUUAGGUUUAUUUAAUAUAGAUAAAAUAACAAUACUAUAAUAUUUCCUGAAGCAGAAAAUAAAAUCAAGGACAGAUUUCAGAGAAUGAUGGCAACUGCGAUAACUGUGAACAUCCUCACAGUUCUGCUAGCCACAGUGUCUAAGACAAAAAUAAAGGUUUAAUUUAGUGAGGAAAAAAGAAAAAAAAGAUUUUCCUUGGCUGCUCUGAGUCCUUCAUUUGGCAAAGUGCAAUUGAACAUCUUGUUUAUCCUUUCCCACCCUCUCACGAACAUCUCUGCUCUUUUCUCACCAGCACACAACUGAGCUCAAGGUGAGUGUAAGUCUGUCCAGCCCCUGGAGGUGCCAGGAGAAAAGCUUUCACAGCCCACAGCUGGGAGCUCACCCACAGACCUUCCUCUCUACAUACAGCAGCAAUGGGGCAGGCAACUUCAGUGGGCUUAUACGUAUGCACAUGCUUAGCUUCCUGUAAAACCCAUGCAUUAAGGAGACAGAUGCACAGCUGUUCCAUCUGAGGCAUGCAUGUAUUGGUUUCUGCACUUAUUCAGUAAACUUGAAAUGCAGAGGAGCCCAAAUCUCUGUUCUGAACAGUUUGAGGUUGUUUGGAUCUGACAUCUCUGUGCGUUCACUGACAGAAAUAAGCUAAUUAUGAACCUGAGUUGGAAGAGGGAUGCCCUUUUUCUGAGUUUUGAGAAGUGUCUGGGCAGAGUAAUUGGACUGCCCUAUCUCAACUGCGUUACAGCAAUCGAGCAAAUGCGAAAAGUCUUCCUUAGAAAGGAAGAAAUAUGUGUUUUUAAGUGCUAGGACAAUUCCACGUAACAUCACGGUUUGCAUCUAUACCCACAGUACGCAGAGAUUCAUGCAGAUGUCCAACAAAUUGAAAAGGCUUCAAAUAUAUUUUAUCUAGUUGUAUGUUUAACAGUAUUUACCUUUUGCCUUUCACAGGUUGCUUUAAAAUCUGACUAUGUAAUAACAUCCUCUGAAUGAUUUAAUUUAAGCUAACGUGCUAUCCCUUUAUGUAAAAAGUAAAGGUAUUUUGAAAGCCCUUGCUGAAUACUCUGAGGUUGCCUCUACUGUGUGGCUAGCACUGGGCUGAAUGCCUAGCAUCCGUGCGUAGAAGAGGGAACAACUGCUGCCCCUCCGAUCUGGCUAUUCUUGUAUCUGGAAACAUUGUCAGGUGCUACAAGCAUCACGCCAUCUGAAAGGCCAAAGUUGAGUACUACGUUAUUGGAGUAGAUGACACCUUAUUCUUAUUCUUCAACAAUUCUAACAACUUAGAGUCCCUCACUGUCCCUUUAUGAACACAGAUGUCAUUCUGAGGGGGGGGACAGCCAAAAUGACAAGAAGGUGACCUGUCGGUGAACUCAGGAGCAGGUGAGGCCUGUCAGCUUCUAAUUUGAAACUGGUGUCAGUCCUGAGGAAUGGCUGGUAUAAUCACAUUUGUAACUGAUAUCCUAUAAACGCUGCAAACAUUCACAGUGCGCCUGUUAUGAGUAAUAUGAAAUUAACAAUUCGUGUUUAUGACACAAGACACCGACCGAAUCAAGCAGGUCUCCGUAACUGGAUCAGCUCCGUCUGUCUGCCAGAGCAGCGCAUCGAACUGCUUCAACCAAAGCCAAAUUACUGUGUGCUUAUGUUACAAUAGGCAUUGUAUUUAUUUUGAAGACAAACUUUUGUAACUAGGCGUAAAGUGAGGACCUCAGAACCAGCUUCUCGCUCAAGUUAUUGCAUAUAAAACUUCUCUUGCUCGAGCCCAGCCAUUAAGAUGUUCGUGACUUUUAAGUUAAGAGUUUGGGACCUAACAAAUCACGUGUUGUAUCUCACAUUUUCUGAAUAACUGAAGGGAAGGCUCUGUGUAAAUCUUCUCUCUCAGACACAUAAAUUACCAGCUGCGUGAAUACUGCCAUUAAGACAAGCAGACAAGUGCGAGGGGUGGGGACAGGGCAGGAUGCCCCAAAGAGGUGGAGUUACAGAGAAAACAAGGCAUUUGCUUACUGAGUAAUUUAUGCUUCAUCUGCCUUCACUGUAGCUCGGUAAGAAUGAACACCAUGAGGCAGUCUGUCAGGCGCUCUCACUUCACUACCGCCAAGGCAUUUUUCUGCAAAUUAGGUAUUUGCUUCCUAUUUCUAGUCACUUCCACCUGGAUUUUUUAUUAGGAAAAGUCAAAAUCAUAGUAUCUGAAGCUAAGAUUUGAAUUGAAGUUACACUAAAAGAUAAACUGUUGCUCAAGUAUAUUUCACAUUUGAAGACAGCAAAAUCUCACAAUCCUUUGCACAAUUAUUUCCAGUCCAAACUGACAGAAGCUCUAAAGUUCGGGUCCUUUCCUGCCUGCACUGCUGCUGAGCCUGGUGCAUAGAUUAGAAGUUCCUUUCCAAUAACAAGCAAAAUAAAAGAAGAACCAUACGAAGAAUCUAUUGCAAUUGUUACACUGGAAUUUAGUUAGCAGAGCUACAAAAACGCAAGUCCAAAUCCCAAGUAGCUAGUGGAGAUUUCUGAACGGUUCUGUACACCUUCACGUAGACAAUCCAGUGGAGCUAACAACCUACUGUAGCACUCUUUUGUGAUAGGCAAAUACCAUUCAUUUCCAUUUUCCACAGAAGAACUGCACUCCACAGAGCUUCAGCAAUGUAAACAAGGCCAGGUACAGCAUUACAGCUGUGGUUCAGGCAACAACAUUCCUUGUCCUCUGACACAACACUUACACAUCAUACUUGUAACACUACCUAGUUCAAGUUGGUGGUCAAUACCACCUAAUUAGCAGAGUAAAAGUGCAAUUUUGAAACCAACUUACAAAACUGCUACAACCAACCUACAAAACUCCAUCAUACCAAAGAAAAAUUAUGGCUCUAAAUUUCACAAUCACUCUCUGCCAACCAAAAACUCACCUUUAAGAAGAGUCAGGGCUGAAAGCUGAAAGUUGAGGCAGUCAUCUCUCAACGUGUAGAACUCCUCACGUUGCUACGAAGGUACAGCACGGUUGUUCAGUGUUUGGAUAAAGUACUGCAUGGGAACUGUUGAAUCACAGCCUGAACCACCAAUUGAUCACCUGAGGCAAGGACUGAAUCAGCUGUGGGAGCACAGGUGAAAGCAAUUCAGCUAUGUGACCAGAAGCUGUGUGACCACAUUCCACCCCUCCCAGACCCCAUUUAAGGGCUGACUAACACUGGGGAAGAAUCUCCUUGUGGUGAUCCCUCCUUUGUGGAGCUUUUCAGUGUGAGCCUAAAUCUUUGCAUACAGGUGAGCAGUUCUUCUCUGUUUGUUCCUUUGCUAUCUCACUGCAGUACUCUUUCCAACUGUGCUUUGUAGACUAUACAACUACUUUGGUGGCUACUCAGAGAUUUUUUAGGAACUGAUAACAUAUGUUUUAAUUUUCCUCCUACUUGCACAGGUAUAAUUAUAUUAAUUCCCCACAUAGUUUAUGAGAAGAGCCUGCCCUGUGGAACAAGACCCAGCACAGCAGCAGGUUCCUGCAGCACCAGGUCAGCUCCAGAGGCUGAUAUCAGCAGCACCACCUCACAUAGCUCCUAGAGCUGGUAGGGUGCAGUGCCUCAGCUGGAUUGCUGCUGUAGCUUACCUGCAGGAGCCUUCUGCAUCACUGGUCAUAUAAAAUGCUCCUCUGCCAACAGAUGGAUUGCUUAUCAUUUUGAUUACUGGCUGUAAAUGUUCGUUAUUUUUUCAUUUCCUAGCUAAGCAAGCUUAUGUGUGUGUAUACAUUUUCUACAGUUUUCAUUAGAGUAACACUAAGACCUGGCAUAAGGCCAGGAGAGAGAAACUUAGAAUUAUUGAUUAAAAAAUACUCUUAGUUUCUUCCAGACCUUCAUUGUGACCCUCAUACUCCUGACGUUAAGGAGCAGCUGGCACCCCUCAGCUCAGCCCAUUACCUCUAGGGCUCCCCUGAGCACCUUGCACCCACCUGGCAGUGCUGUAGAAAGGAGGCUGUAGUGGGUGAUGCUGAGCUUCUGCUCCCAGUGCUGGGCCCAUGUGAGGCUGCUAGAAAACCAAAAGAAAACAUGGAGGGGGGGGGGGGGGGGGGAAAGCCCACAAAAAAAAAACCACCGUGAUCUGUUCUCGAAGGUGGAAAGUGGAAGAAUAAGACAAAAGCCUCUGUGGUCAGAGUAGACAUCUCUUAAGAUCUUGAGAAAAUUCCCCAUACAUAGAAAGAAGCAGCAGAGCACAUCUGUUUUCAUGACAUAGUUUGGUAAUAUCUUGAGCACUGCACUUCCUCUUGACCUCACAGCACCGCUUUCUGUUCAUACAAUUAAUACGGGGAAGACACCAUUCCCACCAACUUUCAUUUUGAAGAUAAACAAAAUCACUCCUUUCAGGGUAAUCUUGAAGAAAUGAACUGCAGCAAAUCUACAACCAGGCAUACCCAGUGAAGAGAUGUUGGAGGGAAAAUGGGGAUAUAAAUGUAUGGCCCAAUUCUAAUUUUAUUCAUUUCUAGUACAUUGGGGUAGGCAGAAUUGGAGUAGGAAAAAAAGGAAGUUUGACUUCUGGGGUUGUCUUUCUAUAUCAUGCUGAAUGGAGAGCAACACAGCACAUAAUCUCACUGGGUGGGAGAUGGGACUUGAACAUGAGGUAUUUCUCUAAGCAGCUUGAAUCAAGGGCUUAAGCACGAGCAGCCUGUAUCUCAUCCAGCUCCUGUAACUGCUAUCUUGUGGGGAUCUUAUCCCAGACUUCAUGAAUAUUUAGCGAGGCUUCCAAAAUAAAUUGGCACUCUCAGUAUACACUGAGACCAUGAACCAAUGAUUGGGAAACUAGUCUGGUUCAAAUCCUUGCUCUGCUCCGUUCCCUCGCAGGUGUAGUGACAAGUUCAUAAAUAACAGCUCUUUGCUGACUGUAGGGCUCCCAUACACGAGUGCCCUAAUCAGUGAAGAAUUUUUUUUCCCCUCUAUACAGCAGUUCCAUCUGCUUCAGAAAGUUUCCCCUCAAAACCAAUGCAUUUACAAGGUAAGUGCUAGUUUUGGUGACUCAGUGCUUUCUUUAAAAAGAAUACCACAGUAUUUCAGUCAAAAACCAUAAUCAACAUGAACUGAAAUGACACAGGUUUCUAAGCCCUUGGCUGCAUGGCAGCCUGCGUGCAGCCCCGAGGCAAGUUCCAGCACUGCAGCAGCGACCAAUGAAAAAUCCUUGAAGCAGAAAGGCAGCAUUAAAGCCAUCCAUUAAGCAGUGUUUACGUUUACUGUGAGGUGAAUUACAAAAACUCCCUGGCAGUGUUUGAAAUCUGAGGGCCUAGGAAAGCCAUCUGGGAAUGGUACCUCAGACACAUACUGUUAUCGUAGUAGCAAAAUUGAUGGCUGCAUCUUACCUGCUGGAGCUCUUCUUCUGCUUCCCCAGGAAUCAGCACAGCAAAGGCAGUGGGAUGCCCACAGCCUUUCCUGUUUCUUCUCAUUGGUGUAGGCCUGCAGAAGGACAAUAUAGAUUUAGUCAAAGGAGACAGCAUGGAAGCAGACCUGGAUGCAUGUGACAGAACUGGAGGCAUCCCAGCAUAAUUAAUGAGCAGUGGAGCAAGUUGUUAUUUAUGUUGCCUGUUUCUAAUGAAUGGGAAUUAGUCAUGUCUUUGAUUCUUAGGUGGCUAUUUAUGCUGCUUAUCUGAUAUCUGAAAGGAAACUGUUCUGAAUAUUUUCUAGUCCAAGGAGGACUGGGUGGCUAAAACAAGACCUAACUUGUGCUUUUGGCAAAACAUUAGGAAACUAGUUUCCAAUUUUGGAAGUGUCUGCAUGUAGUUUUCCAUAGGUUUUUUUUCUUUCUUUGAGUUUUCCUGACUUCAGUCAGGAGGUGAAAUGCCAGAAAUACCCAGAGACAACAUAUCCAACAAGACCGCUCCCCCACAGGCACUGCAGCCCACCGGGUGUUUUUCCAAACCACCCCUGAACUCUGAACCUCCAAAUCAUUCACAGAUCUCUUCCACUGGGAGAUGAAACCACAUCGCUGCACGACUGCAGGAAGGAGCAUGGUGGGGAGCCGUGAGGAAAGCUGUGCUUUCCAUUGCCUUCCUGAGCUGGGAUGAGUGGUGGCCGCGCUCGCUGCAUCAGCCUCUGCUCGGGCUGGGCGCUGUGAGGGAUAAGCACGAGCUGGGCAGCAUUAGUCCUGUGGUCACCCAGAGCGUGAGCACUGCCCUGUUUCUGCUCCAGCUGAAGCCUGAAUGGAGCUUAGCUGGGAGAGGCCUCCAUUUCCCAUUACACAAUGGUAUUUUCUGUUAGACACUAAAGCCCUCUGUCCCUGAUGAUAAGCUGGUUUUUAUUAUAAAAUAUAACAGUUGUAUUUUACACAGCUCUUCUGUACAAUGCAAUUUACGGAGCUAUUCUGCUGGCUCUGUCAUUGACAGGGUGCCCUUUACAGCAGGACUUGUAGCACACCAAAAUUUUCAUGAUCCUAAGCUAGCGGGAAAAGAAAUAUUUCCAUGGGUGAAAAUUCCGGUUAGGUAACUAUUAUUGAAGUGUGUACGAGAUUGCAUGUCAAAACAUUUUUAUUGUUAGCUGGUUGGAAUCACAUUGACUGACAGCAGCAGUUUAACAACUGAAGCACAGCGCAGUUUGUUAUUGUACCUGUUUCUCCAUGGAACAGCUCUGUAUUUUAGCAGCUGCUAUCAUUUCUAAGUUACGAAGCCUGCCUUUAGAAAUGUGUGUUCCCUCUCUCCCACUUACAGUACCCUUACUGAGCUGGCACAAGACAAGCGAGUAAUAAAAGGAAUGUAAAGUGUUUUAAUUUUGUCUUGUUAUAUGGCAUUACAUUGCCAUGGCCUCUUGAUAACAUAACAAAUGUAUACAGGAAAUACAGCUCAAGUGAGCAUGGAAACAGUGGGAGGAGAAGGGGUGUUAGGUUUGGUUGCUUGGUGGGGGCUGUUUGUGCUGGCUUUUCUUGGGGGAGCGGGGGGUGGAGGGUGGUUAAGACAGAACCCAAUUGUGUUCCUCUAAUUACAGAGUUAAUGGAGACGCUCCAAACAGAGGAUUAAGUGGAAAGCAGAGUUUUGCAGCAACCUGAGAUAUUAAAAGGAAAACCAACUGACAGAGCAGAAAAAAGACAGCCAACUUACGGCAACGCGGCAGUAUUUUCCACCAAAAAGUCGCCGUUAAAUCCCCCGCAAUUACUCACAGCUAUCGGGGUGCGCAGUGGCCGUGACACCCGUCUGAGCUGCACAUCACAGACACUGUAACUGCUGGGCUCACCUGAAUGUGUUCCCACGUGCCAUGCACUGCUGGCGCUCUCAUGGCUCCACACAAUGCCUGCAUUUCACCCGACAUCGCGCUUCAACACCGUGGCAUGGCUGCAUUAGCUGCUGCUGGAGGACAAAUAAGGAAAGGAAACGGGAAAGGAGGCGGAGUCCAUCCCUGGCUUCCUCAUACUUUCAUUUGAAUGGGAUUUGGAUUCUGCCUGUCAUUGUGAAGUAGACUGGAAAAGAGUACUGUCAACACAGAUGAAGACUCAGUGUGAAUAAAAUUAAAAUAAUUAAGUUCUGUUCAACAUCAGUUUGGCCCUGCUUGAGUUGCCAGGACUCCGUACACAAUUUGGGAUGGGGGUUGGGUUUUUUUUUUCGUUGACUGUGGUUUCCUUGGUUGGAAUGCUAUGUCUAAGACCACCAUCCAGGAGAAUGAAGGUCUUCCACCCAAGGGCAACAUCUGUUAUCUACACAUUUGGAUAUUGUGUCCAAAACAGGAGAUAUCAGCUUUGGAGGAACGCGAUUUCAGAGUAUGAAGCAGUUCCAAAGACCACUUGGACUUGAUCUCCAAAUGCCUGAGAUAGAUACAAGCCUUGAAAGUGACCCUCGACACCCUGGGAUCUUCUGUGUAAAAGGCUGAAGCACCCAGGGGGUGUAUCCUUGACUGUGCUGCUGAGUCAAUUAAUUACAGUGCUCGAAAUAAAAUGAAGCUUUGGUUAAGAGUGCAAUAUGAAUUUGGGUGUAACCAAGCUAUGGUGAGGUCCCCUCCAAAGGAGCAAGAUUAAAUAUGGCUGUAUGAGCCAGCACUAAUCUACUGAGAAGUGGGCAUGCUGGACCAUAGGCAGCCAGCAGUUCGCAGCACAUUGGGGUGCUCCCAUGGCCUGCAGAGAAGAGGGCUACAUGAGACAAGUGUCCCCCUCCAGAGCUUCAAAUGGACCUGAAGCUCCAUGCUUCUCCCCGUGGGAACAAGCUCAAUUUUGUGCUUUGGUCUAAAGAGAGAUCAAGAAGCACUACCAGAACCAGAGCCAGAAAGGAAUGGGUAAUGGGGUGAGUAAGAAGCCUACCAAACCUGUUCAGACUGCUCCUGGGAAGAACAACAGUGACAGCAGAUGGCAGUGCCCAGGAAAUGACUGGGGCUGGUGGGCAGCACUAUUCAGCACUUCCAGCACUAAUUUGAUAGCUGGUGGGCAGUGGUGAAGGGAAAGCAAUGGGGUCAGGUGGGAUGAGGCCACUCUGGAUAGACACUGUUCCUAUCUCUCAGACCUAAAUGCCCCUCCUUACAGGGGCAGGUGCUCAACAAUUCGCUCCAGCUCCAGUGCAGAGCAGAGGGAGCUGUUCUGAAAAUGUAAAACAAAGAAGAAAAAUAACGUUUGGCUAGAAGAAGGACUUUGCAAAAUUUCAUAAGCACAUCAUGGGGAUUUAUUUAAAUACUCUUUCAAAACUUGCAUAACAAGGAAGUAGAUGCAGAUAAUUCUUAUGCGUCUCACCAACACUACAAACAAGACCCAUUUUUCAAUGACAGUAUUGAAAAUGUUUCCUCCCUUGAGUUACACGUAGUCAAGAUUGUCACAUGGGGAUUUUUAAAAAAAUCCCUUAAGCUGGGAAUAUUUAAGAUAACUUUCAGAAGAUCUCUGUCUACAUUUCACUGUUUUAAGUCUCCUUUCAUAAUUAUGUUUAAUGUAACCUCUGCAAAACAAAUAAAAUCACUCAUUUCCAACAGACAUUCACCCACUGCAAUGAGCUCAAAGAAAGACAGACAAUAGCAGAGGAUAAGCGGCUGAGAGUGGACAGCCACGUCCUCCAGCCAAGCAAACCCCAGAAAGUAAGACAGUGUUUUUCAUCGGUCCUUUACAGUUCAGCAUUUAGAGCUGUCACAUUUCUCACCUCACAGAAAGUCCCACUGAAGGACAUCUAGCAGAGCUCUCUCCCUCUCACUAGCAGCCCUCUGCUAUGCACACGAGCCACAGCUUAAUGCAGAUACAUACAUUUUUACCAGCUCUUCCUUAAAGUAUCUGCUUUUUACUGGCUCAGCUUUUUUUGACGCUGUUAUACCUUUGAAAUGAAACUCGAGAGUCCACCUUUCAUUCAAAUAGGGAUGUAAAUUCCCUAGGAAACUGGUUCAUAUUCUUUAGGAAUGUCUGCAUUUUCACAAGAGUCAAAGAACCCAAAUGUCUACAUUAUAGGUCUAAGUUAUGUGCAAUUUAACAAGGGUUAGAGUAACAACAGAAACAAUUCAGAAAAGUAUACGUUUGUAAUUUAAUUAUUCAAUUAUUCCCUUCUAAAGUUCUUAAUAAAUAUUUAAAUAUUGCACACAGCAAGAUAAGUGAAACAUCAACAUUGCAACAUGGCACCGAUUCAGGAUGCACCAUUGGAUAUUGGACUCAUCAGGCCUUUAGGACACAAGCUAGUCAGUGAACAUCAAGUAUAUUUUUUGAUGAACUAUUUGCAAAUUAGAUGUAUUACAAAUGUUUGCUCAUUUAAUUAGAAUAUAAAAGAUGAUUUCUUU
This 22020-nucleotide long non-coding RNA is filed under the name Gallus gallus (chicken). Its description in RNAcentral is "lncRNA (ENSGALG00010014680.1)". Lineage: Eukaryota; Metazoa; Chordata; Aves; Galliformes; Phasianidae. The record is from RNAcentral.